Molecule: unclassified non-coding RNA, 278 nt
Filed under: Hevea brasiliensis (rubber tree)
Lineage: Eukaryota; Viridiplantae; Streptophyta; Magnoliopsida; Malpighiales; Euphorbiaceae
Source: RNAcentral
GGAAGGCGCUAGAAGAAAGGAAGGGAGGGAAAAGAAGGAAAAAUAAUAACGCUAUGCGAUUUCGCUGGUGGUGGUGCCGGCGGCGACAGUCGGGGAGUAGAGGUACCGGACCGGCGGCCUCAAAUGCUCUGCACAAACUUAGUCAGGAAGAAGAAGGUCGUUAAUGGCCUUGCAAUUGCAAAUGAGUUGGCAACCGAGUUUACUGAGUCAGAAGCGGCGGAACGGCCCCCCACUCGGUCUCAAAAACCUAGGCAAUACCUGCUAUCUCAACAGCGUCC